Ribosomal RNA from Pan troglodytes (chimpanzee), 961 nucleotides. It matches the Rfam family "Bacterial small subunit ribosomal RNA". NCBI's taxonomy places the organism in Eukaryota, Metazoa, Chordata, Mammalia, Primates, Hominidae. The record is from Rfam.
AAACAAAUAGGUUUGGUCCUGGCCUAUCUUUAACUCUCAGUGAGAUUACACAUGCAAGCAUCCCCGCCCCAGUGAAAAUGCCCUCUAGAUCAUCCAGAUCAAAAGGAGCAAGUAUCAAGCACGCACAAAUGCAGCUCAAAACGCUUUACUCAACCACACCCCCACGGGAAACAGCAGUGAUAAAUUGUUAGCAAUAAACGAAAGUUUAAGCUAUACUGAUAUUUAGGGUUGGUCAAUUUCAUGCUAGCCACCGUGGCCAUAUGAUUAGCCCAAGCUAAUAGAACUCGGUGUAAAGAGUGUUUAAGGUUUGCCCUCAAUAAAGCUAAACUCCAUCUACGUUGUGAAAAAUUCCAGCUGAAAUAAAAUAUACUACGAAAGUGGCUUUAAUAUCCUCAAGACGCAAUAGCUAAGACCCAAACUGGGAUUAGAUACCCCACUGUGCUUAGCCCUAAGCUCUAAUAGUUAAACUAACAAAACCAUUCGCCAGAAUACUGCAAGCAACAGCUUCAAAUUCAAAGGACUUGGCGGUACUUUAUAUCCCUCUAGAGGAGCCUGUUCUAUAAUCGAUAAACCCCGAUAUACCUCACCACCUCUUGCCCCCAGCCUAUAUACCGCCAUCUUCAGUAAACCCUAAAAAGGCAAUAAAGUAAGCACAAGUACACACAUAAAAACGUUAGGUCAAGGCGUAGCCCAUGAGGUGGCAAGAAAUGGGCUACAUUUUCUAUACCCAGAAAAUAUUACCACCACCCUUAUGAAAUCUAAGGGCUCAAGGAGAAUUUAGCAGGAAACCAAGAGUAGAGUGCUUGGUUGAAUAAGGCCAUGAAGCAUGCACCCACUGCCCGUCACCCUCCUCAAAUGUUCUAAAAAUUAUUAUAGCUAAAACUCUCUACAUACAUUCAGAGGAAAUAAGUCAUAGUAACAUGGUAAGCGUACUGGAAAGUGCGCUUGGACAAACAUACUU